AUGGAAUCGGUGAGCUCCGGCGACGGCUAUCCCCAGCUACGGACGACCGUCGGCCAGCGCGGGCUCAGUCGGCACGGCGCCGACGACCCUCGGCUUGGAGCUCGCCCUCGCCCGCGACCCUCCACGGCCAUCCACCCGAGCCCAUCCAUGGAGGGAGAGGCCGUUGACGCCGAGCUGCGGCUCUGCCCACCGCACAGCGGCGGCGCGUCGGCGGUGGCGGCGGAGAGCAAGUACGUCAAGGUGAGCGUGGAAGGAGCCCGGUACCAGCGGACGGUGGACCUGAGGGCGUACGGUGGGCACGGGGAGCUCAGGGCGGCGCUCUUGGGCCUGGCCGGCCAGAUGCUGGACUUGGCCGUGGCCUACGAGGACAAUGCCGGCGACAUCUUGCUCGCCGGCGACCUCCCCUGGGACAUGUUCGUCUCCGACUGCAGGAGUGUCAGGAUUAUGAGACGGUCGACGACGGUGACAAGCAGCUAG
Molecule: ribosomal RNA, 477 nt
Filed under: Triticum aestivum (bread wheat)
Lineage: Eukaryota; Viridiplantae; Streptophyta; Magnoliopsida; Poales; Poaceae
Description: partial small subunit ribosomal RNA
Source: RNAcentral